CCAGACCCUACUUAGCCUCAGAGGUUUCACCAGACCCUGCUUAGCCUCAGAGGUUUCACCAGACCCUACUUAGCCUCAGAGGUUUCACCAGACCCUGUUUAGCCUCAGAGGUUUCACCAGACCCUGCUUAGCCUCAGAGGUUUCACCAGACCCUGCUUAGCCUCAGAGGUUUCACCAGACCCUGCUUAGCCUCAGAGGUUUCACCAGACCCUGCUUAGCCUCAGAGGUUUCACCAGACCCUGCUUAGCCUCAGAGGUUUCACCAGACCCUGCUUAGCCUCAGAGGUUUCACCAGACCCUGGUUAGCCUCAGAGGUUUCACCAGACCCUGGUUAGCCUCAGAGGUUUCACCAGAC
Oncorhynchus keta (chum salmon) is the source of this 354-nucleotide long non-coding RNA. RefSeq lists it as uncharacterized. The transcript has 5 exons. Lineage: Eukaryota; Metazoa; Chordata; Actinopteri; Salmoniformes; Salmonidae. The record is from RefSeq and is a predicted model, not a curated record.